AAAAAAAAAAAAAAAAUCUA
Molecule: microRNA, 20 nt
Filed under: Corchorus capsularis
Lineage: Eukaryota; Viridiplantae; Streptophyta; Magnoliopsida; Malvales; Malvaceae
Description: sRNA CCACVL1_27500
Source: RNAcentral